UACGAAGGGGGCUAGCGUUGUUCGGAAUCACUGGGCGUAAAGCGCGUGUAGGCGGCAGCGUGUGUCGGGCGUGAAAUCCCAUGGCUCAACCAUGGAAGUGCACCCGAAACUGCGCAGCUAGAGUCCUGGAGAGGAAGGUGGAAUACUUGGUGUAGAGGUGAAAUUCGUAGAUAUCAAGUGGAACACCGGUGGCGAAGGCGGCCUUCUGGACAGUGACUGACGCUGAGACGCGAAAGCGUGGGGAGCAAACAGG
RNAcentral lists this ribosomal RNA (253 nucleotides) under uncultured bacterium. RNAcentral's name for it is "partial 16S ribosomal RNA". It matches the Rfam family "Bacterial small subunit ribosomal RNA", at positions 524 to 776 of the family's 1533-position model. The record is from RNAcentral.